Molecule: ribosomal RNA, 780 nt
Filed under: uncultured bacterium
Lineage: Bacteria
Description: bacterial SSU rRNA
Rfam family: Bacterial small subunit ribosomal RNA
Source: RNAcentral
AGAGUUUGAUCCUGGCUCAGGAUGAACGCUAGCGGCAGGCCUAAUACAUGCAAGUCGAACGGUGGUAGCAAUACCAUAGUGGCGCACGGGUGCGUAACGCGUAACCAACCUACCCGAAUCUGGGGGAUAGCCCGCCGAAAGGCGGAUUAAUACCGCAUAAAACAACAGCCCGGCAUCGGGUAAUUGUUAAAGAUUUAUUGGAUUCGGAUGGGGUUGCGUGACAUUAGCUAGUUGGCGGGGUAACGGCCCACCAAGGCGACGAUGUCUAGGGGAGCUGAGAGGCUGGUCCCCCACACGGGCACUGAGAUACGGGCCCGACUCCUACGGGAGGCAGCAGUAGGGAAUAUUGGGCAAUGGAGGAGACUCUGACCCAGCCAUGCCGCGUGCAGGAAGAAGGCGCUACGCGUUGUAAACUGCUUUUCUUGGGGAAGAAAAAGAGGAUGCGUCCUCCACUGACGGUACCCAAGGAAUAAGCACCGGCUAACUCCGUGCCAGCAGCCGCGGUAAUACGGAGGGUGCAAGCGUUGUCCGGAUUCAUUGGGUUUAAAGGGUGCGCAGGCGGGAAAUUAAGUCGGGGGUGAAAGACGGUUGCUCAACAAUCGCAGUGCCUUCGAUACUGGUUUUCUUGGGUGAAGUUGAGGUAGGCGGAAUUCAAGGUGUAGCGGUGAAAUGCAUAGAUACCUUGAAGAACUCCGAUUGCGAAGGCAGCCUACUGGACUUUCACCGACGCUCAGGCACGAAAGCGUGGGGAUCAAACAGGAUUAGAUACCCCGGUAGUCC